AAUGCCCGGCGUUUUCAGAGUCCCGCAUGAGGCUUUGAACAAAGAUUUAUCGGUAUGAGAUGGCGAUGCGUCCCAUUAGCUUGUUGGCGGGGUAACGGCCCACCAAGGCAUCGAUGGGUAGGGGUUCUGAGAGGAAGGUCCCCCACAUUGGAACUGAGACACGGUCCAAACUCCUACGGGAGGCAGCAGUGAGGAAUAUUGGUCAAUGGGCGGAAGCCUGAACCAGCCAAGUAGCGUGCAGGAAGACGGCCCUCCGGGUUGUAAACUGCUUUUAGUUGGGAAUAAAACGGGGCUCGUGAGCCCCCUUGCAUGUACCAUCAGAAAAAGGACCGGCUAAUUCCGUGCCAGCAGCCGCGGUAAUACGGAAGGUCCGAGCGUUAUCCGGAUUUAUCGGGUUUAAAGGGAGCGCAGGCGGACCUUUAAGUCAGCUGUGAAAUACGGCGGCUCAACCGUCGAACUGCAGUUGAUACUGGAGGUCUUGAGUGCACACAGGGAUGCUGGAAUUCAUGGUGUAGCGGUGAAAUGCUCAGAUAUCAUGAGGAACUCCGAUCGCGAAGGCAGGCAUCCGGGGUGCAACUGACGCUGAGGCUCGAAAGUGCGGGUAUCAAACAGGAUUAGAUACCCUGGUAGUCCGCACAGUAAAUGAUGAAUACUCGCGGUUUGCGAUACAUUGUAAGCCGCCAAGCGAAAGCGUUAAGUAUUCCACCUGGGGAGUACGCCGGCAACGGUGCAACUCAAAUGAAUUGACGG
Molecule: ribosomal RNA, 750 nt
Filed under: uncultured Bacteroidota bacterium
Lineage: Bacteria; Pseudomonadati; Bacteroidota
Description: bacterial SSU rRNA
Rfam family: Bacterial small subunit ribosomal RNA
Source: RNAcentral